AUUGGGUAAUGUUUGGGCAUAAGAACACCCGCAGGAGGAAGGGGCACUCCGUGACGUCCAGGGAGUGGACUACAAUUCCUAUCAUGCCGUUUUCCAAAAAUAGCAAAAAUAAAACAACAGCAAUACAAAUUCAAAACCAAACAGAAGAAAUUGACUUCCCCCUAGUCCCUUCCUUGGUUCCAUUAUUUAUCAGCAUUCCACAUGUCCGUUGUAAAUUUAAAAACCAUUAAAAUUACUUAUUGUUCAUUCAUAAUAAAAUUACAAGUAGUCCUUGAACCUUGCUAAUGUAUUAACUUGUGUACAUUGCUUCUGUAUAUAUGCAAUAAAGUCCUUCCAAUCUUCUUUAAA
Podarcis raffonei (Aeolian wall lizard) is the source of this 348-nucleotide long non-coding RNA. RefSeq lists it as uncharacterized. Lineage: Eukaryota; Metazoa; Chordata; Lepidosauria; Squamata; Lacertidae. The record is from RefSeq and is a predicted model, not a curated record. The transcript is spliced from 2 exons.